RNAcentral lists this ribosomal RNA (247 nucleotides) under uncultured archaeon. RNAcentral's name for it is "partial 16S ribosomal RNA". It matches the Rfam family "Archaeal small subunit ribosomal RNA", at positions 691 to 938 of the family's 1478-position model. The record is from RNAcentral.
CCGACGGUGAGGGAUGAAAGCUGGGGGAGCAAACCGGAUUAGAUACCCGGGUAGUCCCAGCUGUAAACGAUGCGCGUUAGGUGUGUCAGUGACCACGUGUCACUGAUGUGCCGAAGGGAAACCGUGAAACGCGCCGCCUGUGGAGUACGGUCGCAAGGCUGAAACUUAAAGGAAUUGGCGGGGAGCACCACAACGGGUGGAGCCUGCGGUUUAAUCGGACUCAACGCCGGAAAUCUCACCGGAUAAG